RNAcentral lists this ribosomal RNA (253 nucleotides) under uncultured bacterium. Its description in RNAcentral is "partial 16S ribosomal RNA". It matches the Rfam family "Bacterial small subunit ribosomal RNA", at positions 524 to 776 of the family's 1533-position model. The record is from RNAcentral.
UACGGGGGGGGUAAGCGUUGUUCGGAAUUACUGGGCGUAAAGGGCUCGUAGGCGGCCAACUAAGUCAUACGUGAAAUCCCUCAGCUUAACUGGGGAACUGCGUGUGAUACUGGAUGGCUUGGAUGUGGGAGAGGGAUGCGGAAUUCCAGGUGUAGCGGUGAAAUGCGUAGAUAUCGAGAGGAACACCUGCGGCGAAGGCGGGUAGCUGGGCCGACACUGACGCUGAGGCGCGAAAGCCAGGGGAGCGAACGGG